AUUGAACGCUGGCGGCAUGCUUUACACAUGCAAGUCGAACGGCAGCGCGGGCUUCGGCCUGGCGGCGAGUGGCGAACGGGUGAGUAAUACAUCGGAACGUGCCCAGUAGUGGGGGAUAGCUCGGCGAAAGCCGGAUUAAUACCGCAUACGACCUGAGGGUGAAAGCGGGGGAUCUUCGGACCUCGCGCUAUUGGAGCGGCGGAUGGCAGAUUAGCUAGUUGGUGGGGUAAAGGCCUACCAAGGCGACGAUCUGUAGCUGGUCUGAGAGGACGACCAGCCACACUGGGACUGAGACACGGCCCAGACUCCUACGGGAGGCAGCAGUGGGGAAUUUUGGACAAUGGGCGAAAGCCUGAUCCAGCAAUGCCGCGUGUGUGAUGAAGGCCUUCGGGUUGUAAAGCACUUUUGGCGGGAACGAAAAGGACUGUGCCAAUACCACGGUUCGAUGACGGUACCCGCAGAAUAAGCACCGGCUAACUACGUG
This 484-nucleotide ribosomal RNA is filed under the name uncultured bacterium. Its description in RNAcentral is "partial 16S ribosomal RNA". It matches the Rfam family "Bacterial small subunit ribosomal RNA", at positions 29 to 507 of the family's 1533-position model. The record is from RNAcentral.